This 520-nucleotide ribosomal RNA is filed under the name uncultured Glomeromycotina. Its description in RNAcentral is "SSU rRNA". It matches the Rfam family "Eukaryotic small subunit ribosomal RNA", at positions 569 to 1092 of the family's 1831-position model. Lineage: Eukaryota; Fungi; Glomeromycota. The record is from RNAcentral.
AGCAGCCGCGGUAAUUCCAGCUCCAAUAGCGUAUAUUAAAGUUGUUGCAGUUAAAAAGCUCGUAGUUGAAUUUCGGGGUCAGUAGGUUGGUCGUGCCACGGGUAUGUACUGGUCUUACUGAUUCCUCCUUCCUGAUGAACCGUAAUGCCAUUAAUUUGGUGUUGCGGGGAAACUGGACUGUUACUUUGAAAAAAUUAGAGUGUUUAAAGCAGGCUAACGCUUGAAUACAUUAGCAUGGAAUAAUGAAAUAGGACGUUGAUCUUAUUUGUUGGUUUCUAGGAUUGACGUAAUGAUUAAUAGGGAUAGUUGGGGGCAUUAGUAUUCAAUUGUCAGAGGUGAAAUUCUUGGAUUUAUUGAAGACUAACUACUGCGAAAGCAUUUGCCAAGGAUGUUUUCAUUAAUCAAGAACGAAAGUUAGGGGAUCGAAGACGAUCAGAUACCGUCGUAGUCUUAACCAUAAACCUAUGCCGACUAGGGAUCGGAUGAUGUUAAUUUUUAAUGACUCAUUCGGCGCCUUACG